This 941-nucleotide long non-coding RNA is filed under the name Triticum aestivum (bread wheat). Its description in RNAcentral is "long non-coding RNA (TAES_LNC015829)". The record is from RNAcentral. Lineage: Eukaryota; Viridiplantae; Streptophyta; Magnoliopsida; Poales; Poaceae.
ACUAUGUUGCUUCAGAAGCAGCUAAGUUCUUUCACUUGAUAUUUAUAUUACAAAUUUAUUUGAUGAAUUCCUACCGUCUUCCCAGGCAGUUCCACCCGAAGGGAACACUUCUCUACGGCCACAAGGUUCUCAUUCAAACGCCACACAUCGGCUAAAUAGAGAACUACCGACAGAGGUUUCUCCUAUAGGAUCCCUAGCGUAAGAACUCAUUUCAUAAAUUCAUAAUAUAAAAUCCAAGUAAAACCAGAAACUACUUCAUUUCGACAACAUAAUUUACAUACGGAUUUCCCUUUCGGGAGACCCCAAAGGGAUUACAAAGAGAAAAAGAGGACUACCUUCUGCCGACCUCCACCACUGGAUGAUACAAUGCCUCAAAGGCUUAUUACAAACUGGAGAUGGCUACUACCAACUACUACUACUGAGGAGAGUGAGGCAAGUGGUGAUCUGGUGCUUGCGAUGCUCUGGAGACUGGUGUUGUGUAGACUGCUGUUGUGUGUGUCUCUCCGCGCUUAGUCCUCCUCCUUUUAUAGUGCGCGAGGGAUGCUGGAUGCUCCCCUCUUUUAUUCUUCUGCGUCAUAGCUGGAGGCCGGGGUAUCUCAUAGCUUGACACGCCUUAUGCACCGCUGAAGUGCCUUAGUGUUUGCGACAUCAAGCGUUGCAUGACUCCGAUGCUAGACUGAUAUUUUUGUCUAGACUGAGAACUUUGUCCAGACUGUGAAUUUUGUCCAGACUGGAAUAUUUGUCUUGACCGCGAAUUUUGUCUUGACUGGAACUUUUGUCUUGACUGGAAUCUUUGUCUUGACAGAUGAUUUUGUCCAGACUGAAGCUCUUGUCUUCAUUGCAACUCUUGUUCUUGUAUGCACUGUGCUAUGAGUUAUCUAUGCACGGUUGAAUAUUGUCUUCAUGCAACUUGGAUGAACGGACCUGUCUUGAAUGAAGAC